Molecule: unclassified non-coding RNA, 350 nt
Organism: Ochotona princeps (American pika)
Lineage: Eukaryota; Metazoa; Chordata; Mammalia; Lagomorpha; Ochotonidae
Gene: 7SK
Rfam family: 7SK RNA
About the family: 7SK was discovered as an abundant small nuclear RNA in the mid-70s but a possible function has only recently been suggested. Two independent studies have found that 7SK RNA binds the CDK9/cyclin T complex (known as elongation factor P-TEFb).
Source: Ensembl
GGAUGUGAGCGCGAUCUGGCUGCGACAUCUGUCACCCCAUUGAUCGCCAGGGUUGAUUCGGCUGAUCUGGCUGGCUAGGCGGGUGUCCCCUUCCUCCCUCACCGCUCCAAGUGCGUCCCUCCCGCAGCUGCGCGCUCGGUCAAGAGGACGACCAUCCCCGCUAGAGGAGGACCAGUCUUCGGUCAAGGGCAUACGAGCAGCUGCGCUCCCCUGCUGGAACCUCCAAACAAGCUCUCAAGAAUAAAUGCUGAUGCCCAGAGUCCAUCUGCUUGACUUCUAGUCAUAGGGAACUCAGCGAUUUACAGCAACUCUCCAGCUAAGUAUAAGAUUAAAAAUUUUAAACAAUUUUU